This 509-nucleotide long non-coding RNA is filed under the name Ananas comosus (pineapple). Its description in RNAcentral is "long non-coding RNA (ACOM_LNC034986)". Lineage: Eukaryota; Viridiplantae; Streptophyta; Magnoliopsida; Poales; Bromeliaceae. The record is from RNAcentral.
UAUUUAAAUAACUUAGAAUGUUUAUUUGGUUCAGUUACUAUUACGUUGAAUUCAUCUGGUUUUAUGAAUGUAAUAAUGGAAUUGUGAUUUCUGCAAAAUAAAAAUAGUUUUCUACCCCUCGUGGUAGCAAGUUUUAAAAAGAAAAAAGGUUUCCGUGUGGGAAACAGUUUUUAAAAGGUUUUCUGGUGGUUUUUGUGUAACUUAGUAUUUCAAAACAAGUUUCCGGGUAGAAAAUAUUUUAAACUAAUAGUUGUGAAUUUAUGAUUAAACACUAAAUGUGAAUCUGUGGUGAAUGGUGAUGAAUGUAUGAUUGUUUGUAUGUUCAGUUGUGGUGGUUGUAUCACAUUAUGCAUCUUGUACUUGUGUGACGCCGUGCAAAUACAGUGGAGACUCUGUCCGUGUAAACAGUGGAUUCCAUGUAUUUGUUGCAGAUCUGGUAUACCCUGGGGGUCAGGUUUUCAAAAAAAAAAAUUGAGCGCUUCCGCAUUGCUUUUAAAUCAAAAAAAGGA